GCUAUAUAUGUGAUGGGAUAUCACUCCCAUGAUUACUUUAUGUUAUAAGACACAGUUGACUGUAAGAAAGGGAGAUUAUCCUUAGUGGGGCUGACCUAAUGCAGUGAGCCUUUUAGAGCCAAGAGUUUUCUCCAGAUGGUCACAGAAGAGGAAGGCAGAGUGAUACUGGCUGGCCCAGAAGAAAGCAAACAUCCACGUGAAGCACCUAGGGUCUAUAUGGUAAGGAACUACAAGCAACCUCCAGAAACUGAGCACCGUCCCCAGCCAACAGUUAGCAAGAAAAUAGGGAUCUAAAUUAUAUAACUUCAAGGAAAUAAAUCCUGCCAACAACCAGUGAUCCUGGAAGAGGACUCCAAGCUCCAGAUGAGAGCCACAGCCCUGGCCAAUUCCUUGAUGUCAGCCUGGUGAGACACUAAGCAGAAAAAUCCAGGUGGAACUCCCAUCUCCCAUCCCCCUGGGGCAGGGGAAAGGAAUUUGUGGCAGCUGAAUUCAUACCUCCUGGUGCUAAGGAGCUUCCGGAGUAUAUGGGAAGGAGAGAACCAGCGUGAAUCAAACCAUCUCAAACCACAGGAUGUAUUACAAAAGAGUAGCAAGACAGCAUGUGCAGCAAGCACUGGAAACUUUGUAUUUGGAAUGGUUAAAUCUGACUGAGGCAGAAUACACAGUGGUUAGGAGCGCAUCUUUGGAAGAGGCUGCUUGGCAUUGAAUCCCGAAUCUACUGCUUUAUAGAUGAGUAUUCCUACAAAAGUGACUGAGUCUCUCCCUGCCUUGAUUUCCUUAUCUCUGGGGGAUAUAGUUCCAUUAAAAUUUGUGAGGGAGCUCAUUUUUAGUUGUCAAAUUUUCUUAUGAUGAUUAAACAUUUUGAGUAUUAUUUUUCAAAAUCUUAUAAAAUGUGAGUGUUUUGCCAUGAUCAGAUGCCAUGAGGACAAUGAAUCUGAGAGGCACGGGGAAGGCUGGCAGAGCAGCUUGGACAGAGGCGCUCUUGGGGUUGGGGAGGAGAAAUGAGGGCUGAGAUGGUGGUAGUGAAAAUGACAAGGGAAAGGGAACCAUGUAUAAGGAUAAGCGGAGAAGGCUAGCAGAGGGAGGGCUUGGCUGCAUGUGAAUAUCCUGAGGGCUUGAGGCUCCCUUUCGGGUGUGCCUGCUGCUGCCCUCUGCCCACUAUCCUUCCAAAGUCUGGGGGAUGCUGCGGUUUUCUUUCACUCUGCCUGUGGGGAAAAUAUUGGGCUGUAUUCAGCAUGCUAGGGAGAGCUGAAUUUUAUUGCCAGCUCACUGCACCACUGGUUUUAUCCCAGCUUCAAAAGUGUUCUUGAACAGCAAAUGCCAUUUGGAGGAGACUGUCUUUCUCAUCCUCCACCUUUGCUCUCCCUUUGCUCAUCUUUACUCCUUCAUUACUGUAUCUCUGGGUGUGUACCACAGGUAAGUACCAUGGCACAUGCUGUGGGGUACAUAUAUAGGAGACAACAUGAACUUCAUUCUGCAAGGGACACAGAAGGGCACCUCCAAUCAAUUCCUCAUUGCUUCUUUCCCUAGAAGACUUCAGAAAUCACAGCUUUGACAAGGGAAGGAGGGAAGGAGACCACUGGUUGUCGAAUCCCUACUGCUACGUGACAGCUCUCACACUGUGAUGAUGAUGUGAUUGGCAUAUAAAUCUUCUCUUUCACACUGGAACAGGGAAUAAAAGCAGAGCAUGCGCCAGGCCCUCAGGGAGGUUAAUGGGAUGAUCAUCACAGUCCAAAAGAAUUUCAAGCACUUCUUGAUGUGUGGUGCUAGGCCUGGAGGUGUGGAGGGCCUUCUGACUCCUUGCAGGUCCUAGAGGUAUCUGGCUCCUAAGCAAGCCCGUUUCAAGGGAGGAAGCUGAGAAAGAGGAGCAUCAAUUAUAACCAAGGCCUAUAUUCAUGAGGAUCCUCAUACAGUGGCUGGGUGAAGUGACUUUUGUUCUCUACUGCAAGUAGUGAUGUCUCAGUGAAGGUCUAUCAAUGAGAAGAAAGUGCCAACUGAAAACUUUUAGAAAAUACCCAGUUUACUCAAGGAAAAUAACAUGCAUUGAAGGUGAUUGCUCAAUAGAGAGAAGUUGAAACAGCAGACUAAUUGCCUGUUUGUGACACCCAUGUAAUCAACUUGCCAUUUGUACUCAUCAGUUCAGGCUGUGUUUUCCCACUGAGACAUCAUUUACAGUGCUCUAAACAUAUUUUCACAACAUUCACCUGACAACAUCAGCUGAGAGAAAAAUUUUCAGACUGCCGAGAAACAUCAGGAGGCCAUGAAUUCUUAAUCAACACACCAAAUUAUGAAAAUGUGUAAAUAGACAGCAUAUCUCUAGACCUGUGGUUAUCAAAAGAGCGUGUGUUAGAAUCACCGGACAGACUUAUGAACAAACGAAAUGCUGGGCCCCAUCUCCAGUGUUCUGACUCUGUAGGUCUGGAGUGGGGCUGAAGAUUUGCCUUUCCAACGAGUUCCAAGUGAUGCUGAGGCUGCUUCUCUGGGGACUAUAUUUUGAGAACUACUGAACUACCAUUCUAGGAGGGUGGGAAAAUGGGUUUUCAUCUUGGAGCACAAAUUAUUUGCAUGAAUUUAAGCAAGUCAUGAAUAUUCU
RNAcentral lists this long non-coding RNA (2593 nucleotides) under Homo sapiens (human). RNAcentral's name for it is "HSALNT0281879". Lineage: Eukaryota; Metazoa; Chordata; Mammalia; Primates; Hominidae. The record is from RNAcentral.